This 423-nucleotide ribosomal RNA is filed under the name uncultured bacterium. RNAcentral describes it as "bacterial SSU rRNA". It matches the Rfam family "Bacterial small subunit ribosomal RNA", at positions 361 to 776 of the family's 1533-position model. The record is from RNAcentral.
AUUUUGGACAAUGGGCGGAAGCCUGAUCCAGCAAUGCCGCGUGCAGGAUGAAGGCCUUCGGGUUGUAAACUGCUUUUGUACGGAACGAAAAAGCUUCUCCUAAUACGAGAGGCCCAUGACGGUACCGUAAGAAUAAGCACCGGCUAACUACGUGCCAGCAGCCGCGGUAAUACGUAGGGUGCGAGCGUUAAUCGGAAUUACUGGGCGUAAAGCGUGCGCAGGCGGUUAUGUAAGACAGAUGUGAAAUCCCCGGGCUCAACCUGGGAACUGCAUUUGUGACUGCAUGGCUAGAGUACGGUAGAGGGGGAUGGAAUUCCGCGUGUAGCAGUGAAAUGCGUAGAUAUGCGGAGGAACACCGAUGGCGAAGGCAAUCCCCUGGACCCGUACUGACGCUCAUGCACGAAAGCGUGGGGAGCAAACAGG